This is a long non-coding RNA of Gordionus sp. m RMFG-2023, 236 nucleotides long. RefSeq lists it as uncharacterized. The record is from RefSeq and is a predicted model, not a curated record. The transcript is spliced from 3 exons. NCBI's taxonomy places the organism in Eukaryota, Metazoa, Nematomorpha, Gordioida, Chordodea, Parachordodidae.
GUCAAUGGUAUUUAUUUAAUAUUAUUAGAAAGAAUUAUUUUGGGUUGUUAAGUUAUAUAAUUGAGACUGACCAAGAUCGAAAGAGUGGGUUGAUUCGGUUUUAAAGUAUUCCGUCAUAGGAAGCUGAAAGACCUCAUGAACAGCAGGACAGAAAGGAUUGUUAAAUAUUUAAAUAUGUGAAAUUUAUGAAAAUAUAUAUGGAUAUAGACUUUUGUAAUAAAGUGUGUAUUAUUUAA